Tyto alba (common barn owl) is the source of this 659-nucleotide long non-coding RNA. RefSeq lists it as uncharacterized. The transcript is spliced from 2 exons. Lineage: Eukaryota; Metazoa; Chordata; Aves; Strigiformes; Tytonidae. The record is from RefSeq and is a predicted model, not a curated record.
UGCUCUGCAGCCAGCCCAGCCCAGCCCGAGAGUCGCCGGCUCCGAGAACCCGGCGCUCUCCCGGGGUUUUGCGGGGAAUUCCUGACCGGUUCCAGCGCAGGCUGCCCGUAUCGACAGCAAGCCCCAGCACCAAACGGCACUUUUGCAGAUCUUCCCCUCCCUGCUUAGGCUUAGCUGGAUCCUGUUGACUGGAGCUCAGAUGGAUUUUGUGCAAACCUAGCAGAGAAUUCAGCAUGAUAACUCAAGGUCCAAAAGCUGUCACACCUGCGCUGGGACAGCACAAAAAGAACCAUAUAGAGGACUUGCUUUUUUCACUUACAUAAUACAGUCUAAUCUCCCACAGAGCAGUGCCUGUAAAGUACUGUUUCUGAGACAUGCUACCUUAACAAAGAGCCCACAGUCUUAAAUUUCUGAGCUUCUGUUGCUAGUCUGCAGUGAUCAUUUAGCUGUCACACUUCCAGAGCUGCAACCAUUUUCUUGCUAGUCUUAUUGAUGGUACUAGUGCACAGAAAGAGAAGUGAUCAGAGGCUGCAUGAAUACAUUUGCUUAUGAGUCUCAAGAGCUGAAAUUUUUUUUUUUUUUAUCCCUUCCUGUUGCUUAUAUCAUUGGUUACAAAUUGGUCGGUGUACCUUUAAUAAAUAGUAUAAGGCAUAGCUAUA